CCUACGGGCGGCAGCAGUGGGGAAUAUUGGACAAUGGGCGAAAGCCUGAUCCAGCCAUGCCGCGUGUGUGAAGAAGGCCUUCGGGUUGUAAAGCACUUUCAGUGGGGAAGAAAGCCUUGGGGCUAAUACCCUCGAGGAAGGACAUCACCCACAGAAGAAGCACCGGCUAACUCCGUGCCAGCAGCCGCGGUAAUACGGAGGGGUGCGAGCGUUAAUCGGAAUUACUGGGCGUAAAGCGCGCGUAGGCGGUCUGAUAAGCCGGUUGUGAAAGCCCCGGGCUCAACCUGGGAACGGCAUCCGGAACUGUCAGGCUAGAGGGCAGGAGAGGAAGGUAGAAUUCCCGGUGUAGCGGUGAAAUGCGUAGAGAUCGGGAGGAAUACCAGUGGCGAAGGCGGCCUUCUGGACUGACACUGACGCUGAGGUGCGAAAGCGUGGGUAGCAAACAGGAUUAGAUACCCUAGUAGUC
RNAcentral lists this ribosomal RNA (466 nucleotides) under Vreelandella stevensii. Its description in RNAcentral is "partial 16S ribosomal RNA". It matches the Rfam family "Bacterial small subunit ribosomal RNA", at positions 338 to 795 of the family's 1533-position model. Lineage: Bacteria; Pseudomonadati; Pseudomonadota; Gammaproteobacteria; Oceanospirillales; Halomonadaceae. The record is from RNAcentral.